AGAGUUUGAUCCUGGCUCAGGAUGAACGCUAGCGGCAGGCCUAAUACAUGCAAGUCGAGCGGCAAGUUGAGGAGUAAUCCAAGACCUAGAGCGGCGUACGGGUGCGUAACGCGUAUGUAACCUACCCUAUACAGGGGGAUAGCCCGGAGAAAUCUGGAUUAAUACCCCAUGGCACUGCGGAUCAGCAUUGGAUUGCAGUUAAAGAUUUAUCGGUAUAGGAUGGACAUGCGUCUGAUUAGCUAGUUGGGGGUGUAACGGACCACCAAGGCGACGAUCAGUAGGGGUUCUGAGAGGAAGGUCCCCCACACUGGCACUGAGAUACGGGCCAGACUCCUACGGGAGGCAGCAGUAGGGAAUAUUGGGCAAUGGACGAGAGUCUGACCCAGCCAUGCCGCGUGCAGGAAGAAGGCGUUCUGCGUUGUAAACUGCUUUUAUCUGGGAAGAAAAGGCCCAUGCGUGGGACAUUGCCGGUACCAGAUGAAUAAGCACCGGCUAACUCCGUGCCAGCAGCCGCGGUAAUACGGAGGGUGCAAGCGUUGUCCGGAUUUAUUGGGUUUAAAGGGUGCGUAGGCGGCCGAUUAAGUCAGCGGUGAAAGUUUUGGGCUCAACCCAGAAAUUGCCAUUGAUACUGGUCGGCUUGAGUAUUGCAGGGUACAUGGAAUUGAUGGUGUAGCGGUGAAAUGCAUAGAUACCAUCAGGAACACCGAUAGCGAAGGCAUUGUACUGGGCAACCACUGACGCUGAUGCACGAAAGCAUGGGGAGCGAACAGGAUUAGAUACCCUGGUAGUCCAUGCCGUAAACGAUGAUUACUCGCUGUUAUGCUCUAGUAGUGUAGGGGCCAAGCGAAAGCGUUAAGUAUCCACC
This 865-nucleotide ribosomal RNA is filed under the name uncultured bacterium. RNAcentral describes it as "bacterial SSU rRNA". It matches the Rfam family "Bacterial small subunit ribosomal RNA", at positions 9 to 873 of the family's 1533-position model. The record is from RNAcentral.